RNAcentral lists this ribosomal RNA (404 nucleotides) under Brucella melitensis. RNAcentral describes it as "partial 16S ribosomal RNA". It matches the Rfam family "Bacterial small subunit ribosomal RNA", at positions 355 to 776 of the family's 1533-position model. The record is from RNAcentral. Lineage: Bacteria; Pseudomonadati; Pseudomonadota; Alphaproteobacteria; Hyphomicrobiales; Brucellaceae. RNAcentral also lists the same sequence under 2 other names.
UGGGGAAUAUUGGACAAUGGGCGCAAGCCUGAUCCAGCCAUGCCGCGUGAGUGAUGAAGGCCCUAGGGUUGUAAAGCUCUUUCACCGGUGAAGAUAAUGACGGUAACCGGAGAAGAAGCCCCGGCCAACUUCGUGCCAGCAGCCGCGGUAAUACGAAGGGGGCUAGCGUUGUUCGGAUUUACUGGGCGUAAAGCGCACGUAGGCGGACUUUUAAGUCAGGGGUGAAAUCCCGGGGCUCAACCCCGGAACUGCCUUUGAUACUGGAAGUCUUGAGUAUGGUAGAGGUGAGUGGAAUUCCGAGUGUAGAGGUGAAAUUCGUAGAUAUUCGGAGGAACACCAGUGGCGAAGGCGGCUCACUGGACCAUUACUGACGCUGAGGUGCGAAAGCGUGGGGAGCAAACAGG